GAUGAACGCUGGCGGCGUGCCUAAUACAUGCAAGUCGAGCGAACAGACGAGGACCUUGCUCCUCUGACGUUAGCGGCGGACGGGUGAGUAACACGUGGAUAACCUACCUAUAAGACUGGGAUAACUUCGGGAAACCGGUGCUAAUACCGGACAAUAUAUUGAACCGCAUGGUUCAAUAGUGAAAGACGGUUUUGCUGUCCUUUCUAGAUGGAUCCGCGCCGCUUUAGCUGUUUGGUAAGGUAACGGCUUACCAAGGCCACGAUGCGUAGCCGACCUGAGAGGGUGUACGCCGACACUGGAACUGAGACACGGUCCAGACUCCUACGGGAGGCAGAGGUAGGGAAGCGUCCGCAAUGGGCGAAAGCUUGACGGAGCAACGCCGCGCGAGUGAUGAAGGUCUUCGGAUCGUAAAACUCUGUUAUGGGGGAAAAACGAAUGUGUAAGUAACUAUGCACGUCUUGACGGUACCUAAUCAGAAAGCAACGGCUAACUACGUG
This 497-nucleotide ribosomal RNA is filed under the name uncultured bacterium. Its description in RNAcentral is "partial 16S ribosomal RNA". It matches the Rfam family "Bacterial small subunit ribosomal RNA", at positions 28 to 507 of the family's 1533-position model. The record is from RNAcentral.